RNAcentral lists this ribosomal RNA (456 nucleotides) under uncultured bacterium. Its description in RNAcentral is "SSU rRNA". It matches the Rfam family "Bacterial small subunit ribosomal RNA", at positions 26 to 518 of the family's 1533-position model. The record is from RNAcentral.
AGAAUCAACGCUGGCGGCGUGCCUAACACAUGCAAGUCGAACGAGAAAGUGGAGCAAUCCAUGAGUAAAGUGGCGCACGGGUGAGUAACACGUGACUAACCUACCCUUGAGUGGGGGAUAACCUAGAGAAAUCUGGGCUAAUACCGCAUAAUACCUUCGGGUCAAAGGAGCAAUUCGCUUAAGGAGGGGGUCGCGGCCGAUUAGUUAGUUGGCGGGGUAAUGGCCCACCAAGACUGUGAUCGGUAUCCGGCCUGAGAGGGCGCACGGACACACUGGAACUGAAACACGGUCCAGACUCCUACGGGAGGCAGCAGUGGGAUUUGCGCAAUGGGGGAAACCCUGACGCAGCAACGCCGCGUGGAGGAUGAAGCCCUUGGGGCGUAAACUCCUUUCGAUCGGGAAGAUAAUGACGGUACCGAGAGAAGAAGCCCCGGCUAACUUCGUGCCAGCAGCCGC